GACGAACGCUGGCGGCGUGCUCAACACAUGCAAGUCGAACGGAAAGGCCCUGCUUUUGUGGGGUGCUCGAGUGGCGAACGGGUGAGUAACACGUGAGUAACCUGCCCUUGACUUUGGGAUAACUUCAGGAAACUGGGGCUAAUACCGGAUAGGAGCUCCUGCUGCAUGGUGGGGGUUGGAAAGUUUCGGCGGUUGGGGAUGGACUCGCGGCUUAUCAGCUUGUUGGUGGGGUAGUGGCUUACCAAGGCUUUGACGGGUAGCCGGCCUGAGAGGGUGACCGGCCACAUUGGGACUGAGAUACGGCCCAGACUCCUACGGGAGGCAGCAGUGGGGAAUAUUGCACAAUGGGCGGAAGCCUGAUGCAGCAACGCCGCGUGCGGGAUGACGGCCUUCGGGUUGUAAACCGCUUUCGCCUGUGACGAAGCGUGAGUGACGGUAAUGGGUGAAGAAGCACCGGCUAACUACGUGCCAGCAGCCGCGGUGAUACGUAGGGUGCGAGCGUUGUCCGGAUUUAUUGGGCGUAAAGGGCUCGUAGGUGGUUGAUCGCGUCGGAAGUGUAAUCUUGGGGCUUAACCCUGAGCGUGCUUUCGAUACGGGUUGACUUGAGGAAGGUAGGGGAGAAUGGAAUUCCUGGUGGAGCGGUGGAAUGCGCAGAUAUCAGGAGGAACACCAGUGGCGAAGGCGGUUCUCUGGGCCUUUCUUGACGCUGAGGAGCGAAAGCGUGGGGAGCGAACAGGCUUAGAUACCCUGGUAGUCCACGCUGUAAACGGUGGGUACUAGGUGUGGGGUCCAUUCCACGGGUUCCGUGCCGUAGCUAACGCUUUAAGUACCCCGCCUGGGGAGUACGGCCGCAAGGCUAAAACUCAAAGGAAUUGACGGGGCCCCGCACAAGCGGCGGAGCAUGCGGAUUAAUUCGAUGCAACGCGUAGAACCUUACCUGGGUUUGACAUGGAUCGGGAGUGCUCAGAGAUGGGUGUGCCUCUUUUGGGGUCGGUUCACAGGUGGUGCAUGCCUGUCGUCAGCUCGUGUCGUGAGAUGUUGGGUUAAGUCCCGCAACGAGCGCAACCCUUGUUCACUGUUGCCAGCACGUUAUGGUGGGGACUCAGUGGAGACCGCCGGGGUCAACUCGGAGGAAGGUGGGGAUGACGUCAAGUCCUCAUGCCCCUUAUGUCCAGGGCUUCACGCAUGCUACAAUGGCUGGUACAGAGAGUGGCGAGCCUGUGAGGGUGAGCGAAUCUCGGAAAGCCGGUCUCAGUUCGGAUUGGGGUCUGCAACUCGACCUCAUGAAGUCGGAGUCGCUAGUAAUCGCAGAUCAGCAACGCUGCGGUGAAUACGUUCCCGGG
RNAcentral lists this ribosomal RNA (1343 nucleotides) under uncultured bacterium. Its description in RNAcentral is "16S ribosomal RNA". It matches the Rfam family "Bacterial small subunit ribosomal RNA", at positions 28 to 1378 of the family's 1533-position model. The record is from RNAcentral.